AUCGAACGCUGGCGGCAUGCCUUACACAUGCAAGUCGAACGGCAGCACGUGUGCUUGCACCUGGUUGCGAGUGGCUCACGGGUGAGUAAUACAUCGGAACAUGUCCUGUUGUGGGGGAUAGCUCGGCGAAAGCCUGAUUAAUACCGCAUACUAUCUACGGAUGAAAGCGGGGGACCUUCGGGCCUCGCGCUAUAGGGUUGGCCGAUGGCUGAUUAGCUAGUUGGUGGGGUAAAGGCCUACCAAGGCGACGAUCAGUAGCUGGUCUGAGAGGACGACCAGCCACACUGGGACUGAGACACGGCCCAGACUCAUACGGGAGGCAGCAGUGGGGAAUUUUGGACAAUGGGAGAAAGCGUGAUCCAGCAAUGGCGAGUGUGUGAAGAAGGCCUUCGGGUUGUAAAGCACUUUUGUCCGGAAAGAAAUCCUUGGCCCUAAUACGGUCGGGGGAUGACGGUACCGGAAGAAUAAGCACCGGCUAACUACGUG
Molecule: ribosomal RNA, 486 nt
Filed under: uncultured bacterium
Lineage: Bacteria
Description: partial 16S ribosomal RNA
Rfam family: Bacterial small subunit ribosomal RNA
Source: RNAcentral